RNAcentral lists this transfer RNA (72 nucleotides) under Marmota monax (woodchuck). It matches the Rfam family "tRNA". Rfam says of the family: Transfer RNA (tRNA) molecules are approximately 80 nucleotides in length. Their secondary structure includes four short double-helical elements and three loops (D, anti-codon, and T loops). The record is from Rfam by way of RNAcentral. Lineage: Eukaryota; Metazoa; Chordata; Mammalia; Rodentia; Sciuridae.
UGGAGUGUGGCUCAGUGGUGGAGUGCUUGCCUAGCAUGCGUGACAUUCUAGGUUCAAUUCCCAGCACUUCAG